Molecule: ribosomal RNA, 477 nt
Filed under: uncultured bacterium
Lineage: Bacteria
Description: bacterial SSU rRNA
Rfam family: Bacterial small subunit ribosomal RNA
Source: RNAcentral
UUCGCAAUGCCCGAAAGGGUGACGAAGCGACGCCGCGUGUGGGAAGAAGGCCUUCGGGUUGUAAACCACUGUCGGGAGUUAAGAAAUGCAAGGAUAUUAAUAGUGUCUUUGUUUGACUAAGGCUCCGGAGGAAGCCACGGCUAACCCUGUGCCAGCAGCCGCGGUAAUACAGAGGCGGCAAGCGUUGUUCGGAAUUAUUGGGCGUAAAGAGCACGUAGGCGGCUAUGUAAGUCGGUUGUGAAAGCCUUCCGCUCAACGGAAGAACAGCAUCCGAUACUACAUGGCUUGAGUGCGGGAGGGGAGAGUGGAACUUCUGGUGGAGCGGUGAAAUGCGUAGAUAUCAGAAGGAACGCCGGCGGCGAAAGCGGCUCUCUGGCCCAUAACUGACGCUGAGUGUGCGAAAGCUAGGGGAGCAAACGGGAUUAGAUACCCCGGUAGUCCUAGCCGUAAACGAUGGGCACUAAGUAGAGGGGUUUU